GGUCACACCCAUGGCAUAUGGAGGUUCCCAGGCUAGUGGUCGAAAUGGAGCUGCAGCUGCCAGCCUAUACCACAGCCACAGCAAUGCCAGAUCCAAGCCACGUCUGUGACCUACACCACAGCCCAUGGCAAUGCUGGAUCCUUAACCCACUGAGCGAGGCCAGGAAUCAAACCUGUUUUGGGUUUUUUUUUUUUCUUAAGGCAGCCUCACUUCAUCUUUCUUUUCCAUUAAUCUCUUUGGUGUAAAUUGAGCUAAUAUGUCAAUUUCCAUCCCUGUCCAAAAGCUUCAUCAAUCUUUGAGACUUCACAUUUUUAUCUGUUUUUAUCUCCUAUUAGCAUGCCUAAGAGUGGAUUUUGAGUAAUGGGUUGCAAUGUCUCUUACUUUAUUUUGUUAGAUAGCCAAGCUGUUUCACAAUGGCCCAAAGAGCAGUUAACUCUGUUCCACAGAAACAAGCCUCUUGCCCAAAUUUGCCAUCUGGUGGGUGUUUGAAGCCUCUGUCUUGCAGAGAUUUUUUUCAUUAGCUGACAGUCAUUACUCAUCUGCUUUUGGCUUUAGUAUUUCUGAUAUUCUCAUUAUUGCUCAUCCUAAAGAGUCCCCAUUUCAGAUAAGAGAACACUUGGCGUUGUUUGCUUAACAGAAGGGAUUCAAUUUCCUCAUCUGGAAAACAAGGGCAUCAAUGAGAAUAUUCCUGCUAGUUGGAACCAUCUUUGAUUUUAUAAACUUGGGUUUUAAUGACUUAUGUAUGUGCUUGACAGCCCACUGAGACUGUGGCCUAUGAAGAGGAAGGCCACAGGCCAUGAUAGGUACUUUAUAGGUAGUUGGUUUUUUUUCCCCUUAGUAUACAUUUCUUUUCUUUUCUUUCUAAAAGGGUUUUUAAAAUUUUUAAGAAAUCAUGGUUGAUUAUAAUCAGUACUCUUGAUGGGGAAUGAGUAAGUGAAUGAAGCUGAGCUAACAUCAGGAUGAGAGAGCCAUUGCCCCACAAAGGAAAUACCAGUGAUAUAUAUUUAUCAUAUAUAUAUGAUAUGAGCCAUAUAUAUAUUUAUCAUAUAUAUAUGAUAUGGCAUAUGGAGGUUCCCAGGAUAGGGGUCUAAUUGGAACUACAGUUGCUGGCCUAUGCCACAGCCACAGCAAUGCCAGAUCUGAGCCGCACCUGUGACCUACACCACAGUUCACGGCAAUCCCAGAUCCUUAACCCACUGAGCGAGGCAAGGGAUUGAACCAGCAACCUUAUGGUUUCUAGUUGGAUUCGUUUCCACUGUGCCAUGAUGGGAACUCCACCAGUGAUAUUUUUAAAUUUUCCCACAUUUAUUUUCCAAAAUAUCUGUAGAGAUUUCUUAAAAACAAACCUCAACCAUGACCUACAAGUCGCCUUGCUGUCUCCUCCACCCAAUUUUUUACCACUCAUUCUUCCAGUCCUUACAAUGUAUCCUCACUGGCCUUCCCAGUGUUUGAAAACAUCCCAAGCACCUAAUUUAAAUUAAAUAUGUAUAUAUAUCAGGGUCCCUGUACUGGCUGUUCCCUCUGUUUGGAAUGAUCGUCUAAGAAUAUGCAAGUGGUGGAAGUUCCUACUGUGGCUCAGUGGGUUGCGAACCCAACUCUAUCCAUGAGGAUGUGGGUUCAAUCCCUGUCCUCUCUCAGUGGGUUAAGGAUCCAGGCUUGCCGUGAGCUGUGGUGUAGGUUGCAGACGUGUCUUGGAUCAUGCAUUGCUGUGGCUGUGGUGUAGGCUGGCAGUUGCAGCUCUGAUUUGAUGCCUGGGAACUUCCAUAUGCUGCAGGUGUGGCCCUAAAAAGCAAAAGGCGAAAAAAAAAAAAAAACCCAAAAAAAGAAUAUGCAAGUGGUUUACUCCCUCCCUUCAUGCAAACCUGUGCUCAAACAUCAUCUCUCAGAGAGACCAUUGCAUCCCACCUUUUAUCUUACCCAUCUACUUUGCUUCAUUUUUCAUUUAGCACUCAUAAAUAUAUAUGCAGUGUGUUAUCUGUCAAUUUAUCAUUCCUAGCCCCUGGAAUAGUACUUUUCACACAGGAUUUGCUCAAGCAGUAAUUGUUGAGUGAAUACAUGAAUAAGAAUAAGAAAAUAUCUAUUAAGUACUUGAUUUGUGAAUUAAAGUUCUCUCCAGCUUAGUGUUUCACUGUUAAAGAACACACCUGUCUAUACCCAACUUGUAGUUUUUUGCCUCUGUGCCUCUGCUCCUAUCAUUAUGUACCCCUUCUAUCCCCUCCCUUAUAACUCUGCAUACUUAUCAGAUUCCAAAUCCUAUCCAUUAUUGUCUGAGAUGUGCCUUUGCUUUGGAACCUUCACAGACCAUGCCCAGUGUCUCUCCAUCUGAACUGGUGGGGUCCAUGGCUUUCUGUCAUCAUGCCCUCCCCUCUGAUUCAUUAUCUGUCUCUCUCUGUCCUAAUUCCCCAACCAUAGGCUCUCUGAGUAGAGAUUAUAUUUAUGUAUUUCUACUUUUUACUUUACAUUUUAUAUACAUUUUAAAUGGAAUUGACCCCAUUGUUUCAGAUAGAAUAAAAAUUUUACUAUUAAAAAUUUUGAAUCUUCAAAGGAAUAAAGAUGAAAGCAAAAGUUACCCUCAAUUCUAUCAUACAUAAUAACCACUGUCAACAUUUAGACACACCAACCCAACACACACACACAUAACCGCAUAUUCUCAUAAAAAUUUUGGUACUGUAUAUGUUAUCUAGUAACUUGUGUUUUUUUAAAAAAAAUCUUAAGAUUAUAUCAAGGAUAAUUCUGUAAAUAUGUCUGCACUAAUACUUUUAAUUGCUGUAGUUUACUCAUUUUUAACUGAUACCUUACUCGACUGACUUUGCAAUUAUUUGCAUGUUUUAGCUAUUGCACAUUUUUGAUGUACAUUUUUGGGGUAAGUGGGGUAAGAGAUUUGAAGAGAGGGUAGAUUUAAAAUCAUAGUGGAGAGGUGGGACAUAAGUUGACUGGAGAAAUACUCUUCAUGUUUUUGUUUUUGUUUUUGUUUUUUUACUAAUGCACAUCCUAAAAGAAUUUUGAAAAAAAUCUACAUACCUUUGCAUUUUAAAAAGUUGAUCUGCACAGUUUUUAUUAAAUUUAAAAUGUAUAAAGCUUAUAAUUUCUGGCAAAUUAUAAAUAUAUACAUGCUAAAAUUUAGCUGUGCCAUUACUUUUAAAAACAUACCUAAUGGAGUCAAAACAGUGAUUUGAUAUCUACCUUAAUCUAUUUUUAAAAAAUUAUGAACUAGCUCAUUAUUAAUGGUCUGAAAUGCUAUCUAUUCCCUUUUUCUUCUAGAAUUACUAACUGUAUUCUUUCAUUACAGUUUAUGCCAAUACAAUAUAGUUUUACACUUGAAAGUCUUUUAUUGAUCAACCAUUGCAAUAAAAUUUUGUGCAUGAAUUUAAAUAUUUAAAAUUUCCUGGGACAAUACAAAAAUUUUAAAUGUAUAUUACAAAUUUUGAAAAGUACUUUGUGGAGUUUCCAUUGUGGCCUAGCUGGUUAAGAACCUGACAUAUUGUCUGUGAGGAUGCGGGUUCAAUCCCUGGCCUCUAUCAGUGGGUUAAGGAUUGGGCGUUGCUGCAAGCUGUAGCAUUGGUCUCAGAUGUAGCUCACAUCCAGUGUUGCUGUGGCUGUGGUGUAGGCUGGCACCUGCAGCUCUGAUUUGACCCCUAUCCUGGGGACUUCCAUAUGCUGCAAGUGUAGCCUUAAAAAUUAAACAGUAAUUUGUUAAAUGUGAAAUUAAAAAGGCUCUUUUUUCUUCCAACUAGAUAAUUUAUCUGUGGAUGAAUGUCACUUGUUGGUAGAAUUAAAUAGGAGGAACAUCAGUUUUUUGUUUACUUUUCAUUUUUAUAGAUAUAAGUGCUAAGAAACAUUUUCACAUACGUCAAGUGUAUAGGAAUGGGCAAAGUUUUUUAUAGCAGUAUCCCUCAACUUGAACUCCUUUUGAGUUUUUUUUAAUAAAAAUUAUAUAUUAAUCUAUUACCAAAACUAUUUCUAAUGACCUGUCAGUGGAUGAGCAAUUAGGUACCCUGUCAUUUUUUAAAAUUUUACUAAAAUGUAAUUGAUUUACAAUGUUUGUGUUAAUUUUUGCUGUAUAGCAAAGCGAUUCAGUUAUACAUACACAUAUCAUUUCCUAUUUAGGUGAUCACAGGAUAUUGAAUAGAUUUCCCUGUGCUAUAUAGCACGUCCACAUUGAUCAUCCAUACCAUAUAUAGUAGUGUGCAUAUGCCAGUCCCAAGCUCCCAAUCUAUCCCUCCCCUGCACCUUUCUCCUCUGCUAACCAUAAAUUUGUUUUAGAAGACUGUUUGGCUUAUGUUUUAUAAAUUCAUUUAUAUGAUUUUUAAGAUUCUACAUAUAUGUGAUAUCAUAUGGCAUUUGUCCUUCUCUGUCUUUCUUCAGUUAGUAUAAUAAUCUGUAGUUGCAUCCAUGUUGCUGCAAAUGACAUUGUUUUAUUCUUUUUUUAUGGCUAAGUAGUAUUUCAUUCCAUAUAUGUACCACAUCUUUGUCCAUUCAUCUCUCAGUGGAGAUUUAGUUUGUUUCCAUGUCUUGGCUUUUGUGAAUAGUGCUGCUGUGAACAUAGGGUUAGGUUACAUGUACCUUUUUGAAUUAUUGCUUUGUAUUGAUAGUGGUGGGAUAGCUGGAUCAUAUGGUAUUUCUAUUUUUAUUUUUUUGAGGAAGCUACAUACUAUUUUCCAUAGUGGUCAUAUCAAUUUGCAUUCCUACUAGUAGUGUAGGAGGGUUCCCUUUCUCAUACCCUCUCCAGCAUUUAUCAUUAGUAUACUUUUUGAUGGUGGCCCUUCUGUUGGUGUGAGGUGAUACCUCAUUGUAGUUUUGACUUGCAUUUUUCUAAUAAUUAG
This 4823-nucleotide long non-coding RNA is filed under the name Sus scrofa (pig). RNAcentral describes it as "lncRNA (ENSSSCG00040075349.1)". The record is from RNAcentral. Lineage: Eukaryota; Metazoa; Chordata; Mammalia; Artiodactyla; Suidae.